This is an RNA transcript of Triplophysa rosa, 5595 nucleotides long. It is a transcript of the gene named non-SMC condensin II complex, subunit D3, with no coding region annotated. The record is from RefSeq and is a predicted model, not a curated record. The transcript has 36 exons. Lineage: Eukaryota; Metazoa; Chordata; Actinopteri; Cypriniformes; Nemacheilidae.
UACGUGCUGUCCAGCGGGCAGCAUUGGCGCGUUAUUUUGAACUAAACAUGGCGCUGAUACGCGCUUUACAGUUAUUGAAAUUGAGCAGUGUGUCUACAGCUUGGGUGGAUGCAGUGUGGGAUUUUGAGUUCACCCACACUGACCCUAUUGACCCUGUUAUUGAGGAGGAGAUCAAGGAAAAUGCUGAUGUUUUCAAAACAGUUUACAUGCAAUUGCUGCCUUUCUCCACCGAUGAUGCUGCUGCUGCUGCUGAUGAUGAUGAUGAUGAUGACACACAGAGUGUAUGGGGGGUGUUUGGUGAGAAUGGUGUCUCUACAAAAGCAUUGGUGGCUGUGCUUUCCUAUUUCAUUCUUAGCGCGAAAGGCAAAAGUCCCAGUCUUGAGCAAAGAUUGUGUGGUCUAGAGGCAGCUUCACUUUAUUUGUUGCUGCUGAAAAUACCAGGGAGCGUUGCAAAUAAGGUGUACCAUCAGAUCCUCUUUGACACCUGUCUAAACAUGCCUCUGAAAUGCUGGCCUCAAGACUCUGGGAGGAAACGGAAGAAAGAUUCUGUGAAAAGCUCACAGGGCGAUCCAAAAACUGGCAAACGAUCCAAACCGCCCAAGAAAGUGUCAGAGGAGAUGGAGAUUGAUGGCGAUGAAGAUGAUGAAGUGGAGGAAAUGUACUUCUCAGCACAGGACUUGCUGAAAAUAAGGGAGGACAUUGUCAUGUUGAUUCGCACACUCCUGCGACUUUUAGGGAAUUUUUCUCUUAAAGACAAACCUCAGAGUACUGACAGCUGUGUUCAGCUUUUCACAGGGCUUACUAACUUUGAACCAGUCAUUGGGGAUCUGUCAUUCAGUCAGAAAAGGAAUGUCGACCAAUUACAGAGCUUGCCUGAGCUGGCCUAUCAUGGACUGGGAAUUCUCUGCUCGGCCAUUCAUGGUGAAGGAGAUGAGUGUCGCCGUCGAGUGUUCCGAAAGUUGCUGUAUGUGAUUCUAAUGAUGAAAACACAAGAGCGGUCCAAGCCGUGUCUUCUUGUCCCGUCUCAGGCUGUUCAUAGUGCCAGAGACCAUGCUGUCCUCUUUAUUAGCCACAUUGUUGAUGAGCAGAGAGAGACCACAUUGCCACUUUUAAGGGUUCUUGUGCAACACAUCUGUCAUCAGAUGGUAGAGAAGUCUGAAUAUCGAGCCAGUGGAGCACAAGCUGUUGGGAAACUAAUGGCUAAGAUGCCGUGUCAGGACUACGCUGCCCUUGUUAAGUGGCUUCAUAACUACUCUAGAAACAAUAAGGUGGCCUUCAGAAUGUUUGCCCUGGAUAUCGCCAUGGCGCUUCUGGAGCAGGACGAAAGAGACGUGGAUGACACGGUGGACCCUGAUAUGGCAGUGUUCCUGUCUCACAGGUUCCUGGUACACAACAUAGUUUACGGUCAUCGUAAUGACAUUUCGCCCACGGUCAGAGGUCACGCACUACACUGCCUGGCCCUGUGUCUGGAGCUCCGUUCCCAGAAUGCCAUGAAAUGUGUCCAUGAACUCUUUUCCAACACAGGUGCUCAGACUAUGCUGGAGACGGGCCGCUCUGAGCAAACUCUGAAGAGAGGAGAGACAGGACAGAAAACCGCCCUGACCUUCAGAACCAUUGAGCUGACGAAGCACAAAAGCAUCACGGCGACCCAUAGGAGUGACAUCAACGCCACCUUACAGAAUGAAGAAACUAUGACUCUGUUUAAGAAGCAUGUCAGUGACCCAAAAACCAAUGCUAGGAAAAGUGCACUGGAGACUGUCAUGAGUCUGCUGAAGCAUGGGGUGGUCUCAUGCAGUGCAGAGAAUCUGAGUAUUCUGUCAGAUCGCUGCAGGGAUCCUGCUGUGUCAGUGAAGAAGAAAGCCAUGCAGUGCCUUAUGGAUCUUCUUGCGGCUCUGCCUGACAAUUUGGAGGUACAGGAGGCGUGGCUGAGAGGAGUGUUGCCGGCUGUCAUAGACUCUGAGAGCUCUGUGCAGGAGAAGGCUCUAGAGUGCCUGGACCACGUCAUCCUCGCACACAUUAAGAGUCAAGGCAAAUAUCAUCAUGGCGACACCUCUCAGAGACUAGCCUGGGACUUGCUGGGACUAAUGUGUGAAAAGUGUGAAGACCUCAGCCGUUAUUUCAGCAAGGCUUUCAGCGUGUGGGCUCCGCAGCAGAAGUUCACUCCCGCCUUUGUUAACGGUCUGCUCUCACACACAGAGGGAGAGAGGGCUGCUGCCGCCUGGCUGCUGUUAGCCAAAAUUGCGAGCUGUUCACCCAAACUCAACUAUAGCACCGUGCUAGAGACCUGGGAACGCACAGUCAGGUCACCAGUCGUUUCAGUUACAAUGACUUGUCAUAUCUUGAGCGUUAUGGGUGACAUUUCCUCUAAUCUCAAUGAUGACACUAAAAGCAGAAUUGUAGAUGAUCUGAUGGGCUGGUUGAAGAGUUUCAGUCUGCCUUUGGAGGUGAUCAGCUCCUGUGUGGAUACCCUGCUUAGAUUUGCAAAGUCAGACUGCACUCAGGACACAAUGAGGUUCUUAGAUUGUUUCUGUGGAGAAAUGGUCUCAGUGUGUGAAGCAUAUCUGUCCAGUAUCAUUCUAAAUGAGAAGGGAACAGAGAACAUCAAUGAGGAUCUGCUGGUGAAGCAUCUUUACACACUUGGUGUUGCUUCUCUCCAUUGCCCCUCUAAAGUGGGGAAAAGAAUUUUCCUUCUGGUUCAGUCCAUUCUCACUCCCUCCGAGCAGUCAGGUCAGGCUGAAGGAAAUGAGCUGCCUGCCAGCCAGCCUCUGUCUCAGUUCAAAGCCAAUUCUUUGCCUACAGUGGUCCGAGCACAUGCUGUUAUUGCAUUAGGCAAGUUGUGUCUGCAGCAUGAGGAAUUGAUGUUAAAGUAUCUGCCGGUGUUUGCACGGGAACUGGAGGUGGGCACAGAGCUGGCCGUGCGCAGUAACGUGGUGGUGGUCAUGUGCGAUCUCUGCGUGCGUUACACCAACACGGUGACCCGGUAUAUACCCAAUAUCUCAGCCUGCCUGAGAGACAAAGAGCGCAUCGUGAGAGAGCAAACCCUCAUUAUGCUGACAAACUUACUACAGGAGGAGUAUGUGAAAUGGAAAGGUAUGCUGUUUUUCCGAUUCGCUGUUACUCUCGUGGAUUCAGAUCCUGCCAUUGCAGAUCUCUGUGAAUACUGCCUGGUUGAUCUCCUGCUUAAGAAGAGCCCUCUCAUGUUCUCCCAACACUUCAUUGAGUGCAUUUUCCACUUUAACUCUUAUGAUAAACACAAGAAAUAUAAUAAAUUACCUCAAACUGAGAGUGAGAAAAGCAGGUUUUCUUUGAAAGGUCCACAGAAUCAAGGCAAACGUUUCAGAAUCUACAAGUUCCUACUGAAAAACUUCACAGAUGAGCAACGCUUCAGUAUCACAACCAAAAUUUGCCAGGACAUCCUCGCCUGUUUUGUCGACUCUGAACUGCCUUUGGACUCCGAUGGCUCCGAGUUGCUUGAAGACACAUUUGAUGUGCUCUCCCUAAAGGAGAUGAAGCUGACAGCCAUGAGUGGCCCUGCUGCAGGCGAGGAACCUCAGGAGGACGAGAUGGCCAUGGCUAAAGCCGUCUUACAGGUGGCUCAGAAAAAAUUGAUCACACAGGUCCAGAAGAAGAACUUUGUAGAGAAUGUUAUUCCAAUCAUCAUCAGUCUGAAGAAUAUGCUGGAAGAGCAACACUCGCCUGUUCUCAAACACAUUAUGGCCUACCUGCAGGUGACCAUGCAGGACUAUCGUUCAGAAGUGAAGGAGCUGUUCGCAGCUGAUGAGCAGUUGGCUGCAGAGGUGGAAUAUAACAUGAAGCAGUUUGAAAAGCAGAAACAAGAGCAGCAGCAGAUGGAGAAGGAACUGGCCAACUUCACGCUGUCACCCAGACAAAACGGUAAUGCUGUGGCUUCUCCUGCCCAGGCACCAAAUGUCGGACAUCAGUCGGGUUUUGCCACACCUCUCCGUCCUGGUACAAAGGGAUCCAAACAAACCCCUAAAUCUGCUGAUGCACUAAGACGGCGCACUUUUGCUGGCAUGGUAACCCCCGUCAGGAGCCAUCCUUCCUUUACAGUGAUUUCGACAGGACGAGCAAAACAGGUUGGGAGAGCCAUUAGUACUCCGCAAGCAAGCAUCAAUGAGGUGACGUUUGGAGAGCAAGUCAGUGCAAUCUGCAGUGAAUCUGGAAGAGGCAGCAAGAAUGUGGAGGAAGAAGAAAGCAUUUUAUAUCUGAUGUCACCAGAGAAACAAAAACCAGUGCACAAGCAAUGGAAUGUGGAAUCUCCUCUUGUAAAAAAAAAUAGAUCCAAAAAAGGUUGUAGUUAAUGUGCAUAUAUUGUAUUUUUUCAUUGUACCGUUCAGUUCAUUGGACCUUUAAAAUGAGCCCUUUUGAUUACUGUCCCUCCCCUGUUUAAAUGAUGUUUGACUCGUCAAAGGCAAUUUUAUUGAAUGUGCUUUUGAUGCUCUGUCUCACGGGUCACAUUCUUCUGUAAACUGUCAUAUGAAAAGCAUCAAUCCAGCCAUUUCUAUCAGAAGAGAAUGUGUAGUAACUAAAGGAUGUGUAAUAUGAAAUAUAUUAAAGGAAACAAAAUAAUCUCUCUUUUAGCUGUUUCUUUAUGUUUUGGUACCAGUGUAUUUUACAAUACUACACAUGCAUAUGUACUUUUACUGUAAUACUGUUUAAAUACUGUAAUAACUAGAUACCAGCCUAGUUACAGUAGGCCUUGUCAGUACUUUUUGGGGUAAGUACACCGCAAGUCUAAUCAAAAAUAUUAUGUCAGUCAUGAACAUUUUGAGUUGAGUAUCUAUAUAGACCACUUCGAGUGAUGUAAACAAUGCUGGUCUGUGACUUUUGCUGUCGUACGAGCUCGCAGGCGAUUGUUUUUGCCUUGGAGGAAAUUGUAUAUGCUUGUAUAAUUCCUUAUGACAACGACAAUCUCGCCCUAAAUAUAAAAUCUCGCGAAAUUUGGACAUAGCUGUAUCCCUGUUGGCCCUAGCCGUGAGAGAUUGCGGUUCAGAUCGCAUGUGUUUAUGGGAUUAAUGAAAAAAUACAAAUAAAAGACGUUUAUGGGUGUGCGAUCCAUGUCGGUGAGUUCAGUAUAAUAGCGCAUCGCCACAUAUUUAACAUAAUCUGUUGCUUAUUGAGUUCAGGAACGUGAUGUCAUCACGCCGCCAUCUUGUAUGCUACGCACAAAAGGAGACGCUUCUGUAGUGCGCAGCGACAGGGAGUCAGAGGGAAAUUUCUUAUAGGGAAAAACUUAAUGAAGCAAAUGUACGUUAAAUACAAACUUUAGCAACUAAUGUUACUCCUAUACUAAGCAGCGGCCGUCACAGCUUCUGUAGCAUACAAGAUGGCGGCGAUGACGUCGUUUCCAGGACUGAUCACGUGUGCACUGUUUUCUGUGAGACCCAGAUGAAGACAUCAAGAGGCCUGGACAGAUGUUGGCCUGCAGAACACCACACUAACAUUUCUGAUGUUGGUUGACUGACUACUACCAUGUUAUUAAAGAGAUAGUUCACCCAAAAACUAAAAUUUUGUCAUCAUUUACUCACCCUCAGGACAUUUCAAACCUGUAUGACUUACUUUCUUUAUCAAAAC